UACAGAGGGGGCAAGCGUUGUUCGGAAUUACUGGGCGUAAAGGGCGCGUAGGCGGCCUGCUAAGUCGAACGUGAAAUCCCUGGGCUCAACCCAGGAACUGCGUCCGAUACUGGUUGGCUUGAAUCCGGGAGAGGGAUGUGGAAUUCCUGGUGUAGCGGUGAAAUGCGCAGAUAUCAGGAAGAACACCCGUGGCUAAGGCGGUUCUCUAGUACGGUACUGACGCUGAGACGCGAAAGCGUGGGGAGCGAACAGG
This 253-nucleotide ribosomal RNA is filed under the name uncultured bacterium. RNAcentral describes it as "partial 16S ribosomal RNA". It matches the Rfam family "Bacterial small subunit ribosomal RNA", at positions 524 to 776 of the family's 1533-position model. The record is from RNAcentral.